CUCCUCCCAUGGAUUUAGUUGGUCAGCCGGUCCACGCCGAACCUCAACGCUCCAUUGGUGUCCUCUCUUGCUGAUUGGUGGAGGCCGAAGAUGCACAAAUUCCAUCUUUGGACUGGGAAGAUGACUGUGACGCUUGAGGAUGUCUCCUUGAUCAUCGUUCUUCCUAUCAAAGGGAGGCCUCUCUGUAUGAGCACUGAUUCUGAUGGGUGGCGCCAGCAGAUGAUGGCUCUUAUCGGUAUGGCUCCUACCGAGGCUGAGGCUGAUGUAGAGGAAUGCUUCAUGGAUGUGGCUGAAGGUGUUGACCGUCUUCGAUAG
Molecule: ribosomal RNA, 315 nt
Filed under: Triticum aestivum (bread wheat)
Lineage: Eukaryota; Viridiplantae; Streptophyta; Magnoliopsida; Poales; Poaceae
Description: partial small subunit ribosomal RNA
Source: RNAcentral